This 465-nucleotide ribosomal RNA is filed under the name Vreelandella stevensii. Its description in RNAcentral is "partial 16S ribosomal RNA". It matches the Rfam family "Bacterial small subunit ribosomal RNA", at positions 338 to 795 of the family's 1533-position model. Lineage: Bacteria; Pseudomonadati; Pseudomonadota; Gammaproteobacteria; Oceanospirillales; Halomonadaceae. The record is from RNAcentral.
CCUACGGGGUGCAGCAGUGGGGAAUAUUGGACAAUGGGCGAAAGCCUGAUCCAGCCAUGCCGCGUGUGUGAAGAAGGCCUUCGGGUUGUAAAGCACUUUCAGUGGGGAAGAAAGCCUUGGGGCUAAUACCCUCGAGGAAGGACAUCACCCACAGAAGAAGCACCGGCUAACUCCGUGCCAGCAGCCGCGGUAAUACGGAGGGUGCGAGCGUUAAUCGGAAUUACUGGGCGUAAAGCGCGCGUAGGCGGUCUGAUAAGCCGGUUGUGAAAGCCCCGGGCUCAACCUGGGAACGGCAUCCGGAACUGUCAGGAUAGAGUGCAGGAGAGGAAGGUAGAAUUCCCGGUGUAGCGGUGACAUGCGUAGAGAUCGGGAGGAAUACCAGUGGCGAAGGCGGCCUUCUGGACUGACACUGACGCUGAGGUGCGAAAGCGUGGGUAGCAAACAGGAUUAGAUACCCGUGUAGUC